RNAcentral lists this ribosomal RNA (497 nucleotides) under uncultured bacterium. Its description in RNAcentral is "partial 16S ribosomal RNA". It matches the Rfam family "Bacterial small subunit ribosomal RNA", at positions 28 to 507 of the family's 1533-position model. The record is from RNAcentral.
GAUGAACGCUGGCGGCGUGCCUAAUACAUGCAAGUCGAGCGAACGGACGAGAAGCUUGCUUCUCUGAUGUUAGCGGCGGACGGGUGAGUAACACGUGGAUAACCUACCUAUAAAACUGGGAUAACUUCGGGAAACCGGAGCUAAUACCGGAUAAUAUUUUGAACCGCAUGGUUCAAAAGUGAAAGACGGUCUUGCUGUCACUUAUAGAUGGAUCCGCGCUGCAUUAGCUAGUUGGUAAGGUAACGGCUUACCAAGGCAACGAUGCAUAGCCGACCUGAGAGGGUGAUCGGCCACACUGGAGCUGAGACACGGUCCAGACUCCUACGGGAGGCAGCAGUAGGGAAUCUUCCGCAAUGGGCGAAAGCCUGACGGAGCAACGCCGCGUGAGUGAUGAAGGUCUUCGGAUCGUAAAACUCUGUUAUUAGGGAAGAACAUAUGUGUAAGUAACUGUGCACAUCUUGACGGUACCUAAUCAGAAAGCCACGGCUAACUACGUG